AGCGCGCAAGAUGGAGGUAGCAGAGAUGAGGAUGCUGAGGUGGAUGUGUGGACACACGAGGUUGGAUCGAUAAGAAAUGAGGUUUUUAGGGAGAGAUUAGGAGUGGCUAGUAUUUCAGAUAAGAUUAAGGAGGGGAGAUUGAGAUGGUUUGGGCAUGUGAAGCGGAGGCAAACGACAGCACCAGUUAGAGUAGUGGAAACUCUUACUGUGGAAGGGAGGAGAGGAAGAGGCUGACCCAAACUGACAUGGGAAGAGCAAAUUAGGCAUGAUUUACUAGAGUCGCAUCUUUCUGAGGACAUGGUCCAAGAUAGGAUUUCGUGGAGGCGUGGGAUUAGGUGA
This 339-nucleotide long non-coding RNA is filed under the name Helianthus annuus (common sunflower). RNAcentral's name for it is "sRNA HanXRQr2_Chr08g0324781". The record is from RNAcentral. Lineage: Eukaryota; Viridiplantae; Streptophyta; Magnoliopsida; Asterales; Asteraceae.